UGCUCAUGCCUCUGUUCCCGUGCUCUCUUCAAAACCCUAGGAGCUUCAUUAUAUCAUUACUUUCAAAUCCCUAAUAUUUUGGCCUUCAUCUCCUUCAAAUCCCUCAGUCAUCCUCUGAAAAUGCAGAAAAGAGUUCGAAAACCUCGUCAGCAUGAGAAAGGGAUUCCGUUACGAAGACAUUGUUUCGUUGAUAAUUUAUUGCCAUUGGGUUUGAAGACGCUAGCGAGGGUGAAUCGAUUGCAGAGAUGACGGUGGCGCUCGUGGACAAGGUUAUCGGUGUCUGCAUGAUGGAAAAGAAGAGCUAUGAAGAUUAUCCACUGGUGGGGUACAAUCAAAACUCUAUGAAAAGACUAACAUAUAAGAAAGUUGGGAUGGGAGUCUUUUAGAAGGAGGAAACAGCAGAGAAACCAUUGUAGCAGAUUACAAGGAGAUAUCAAGUUCAAGAAAAGGACUAUAUUCUGGUUUAGCCGACGUUGAUUCUCACACAUGCCCUACUGAUGAUGCCAAAUCGCUGACUGGCUCUUGCGCAAAUCAAAUUACUGUUUUGCAAAUAUCACCUGCAAAUGAAAAAUAAGAUUUAUGUUUCAUAAUAAAAGUAAAAUGAUGCACUCAAUUUUUCUCAUUCUAGUAAGAAACACGAUGAGGGGGCAUAUCGUCAUGGGGAUGGAAUCUAAGUGUGCAUCAUUCAACCUCAUGCUUUGUUUCCAAGAGCAUGGAUAGUUUAUGAUGGUAUAGUCAUUUAUAUUUAUAUAAUUGGUUGACGCAUAUUUAGAAAUGUAUUUGUAAUGUUAUACAGUCAUCUGUUUAUAGUGAAGGUGAAUGUUCAUAAAUCUAUCAGAAUUACUUAAUAUUAAUAUUUUGUGUGA
Molecule: long non-coding RNA, 866 nt
Organism: Vigna radiata var. radiata (mung bean)
Lineage: Eukaryota; Viridiplantae; Streptophyta; Magnoliopsida; Fabales; Fabaceae
Exons: 4
Source: RefSeq, a predicted model, not a curated record